GGGCGUUAAGUUGCAGGGUAUAGACCCGAAACCCGGUGAUCUAGCCAUGGGCAGGUUGAAGGUUGGGUAACACUAACUGGAGGACCGAACCGACUAAUGUUGAAAAAUUAGCGGAUGACCUGUGGCUGGGGGUGAAAGGCCAAUCAAACCGGGAGAUAGCUGGUUCUCCCCGAAAGCUAUUUAGGUAGCGCCUCGUGAAUUCAUCUCCGGGGGUAGAGCACUGUUUCGGCUAGGGGGCCAUCCCGGCUUACCAACCCGAUGCAAACUGCGAAUACCGGAGAAUGUUAUCACGGGAGACACACGGCGGGUGCUAACGUCCGUCGUGAAGAGGGAAACAACCCAGACCGCCAGCUAAGGUCCCAAAGUCAUGGUUAAGUGGGAAACGAUGUGGGAAGGCCCAGACAGCCAGGAUGUUGGCUUAGAAGCAGCCAUCAUUUAAAGAAAGCGUAAUAGCUCACUGGUCGAGUCGGCCUGCGCGGAAGAUGUAACGGGGCUAAACCAUGCACCGAAGCUGCGGCAGCGACACUGUGUGUUGUUGGGUAGGGGAGCGUUCUGUAAGCCUGUGAAGGUGUGUCGUGAGGCAUGCUGGAGGUAUCAGAAGUGCGAAUGCUGACAUAAGUAACGAUAAAGCGGGUGAAAAGCCCGCUCGCCGGAAGACCAAGGGUUCCUGUCCAACGUUAAUCGGGGCAGGGUGAGUCGACCCCUAAGGCGAGGCCGAAAGGCGUAGUCGAUGGGAAACGGGUUAAUAUUCCCGUACUUGGUGUUACUGCGAAGGGGGGACGGAGAAGGCUAUGUUGGCCGGGCGACGGUUGUCCCGGUUUAAGCGUGUAGGUGUGUGUUCCAGGUAAAUCCGGUUCACUUUAACACUGAGGCGUGAUGACGAGGCACUACGGUGCUGAAGCAACAAAUGCCCUGCUUCCAGGAAAAGCCUCUAAGCAUCAGGUAACAUCAAAUCGUACCCCAAACCGACACAGGUGGUCAGGUAGAGAAUACCAAGGCGCUUGAGAGAACUCGGGUGAAGGAACUAGGCAAAAUGGUGCCGUAACUUCGGGAGAAGGCACGCUGACACGUAGGUGAAGUGAUUUACUCACGGAGCUGAAGUCAGUCGAAGAUACCAGCUGGCUGCAACUGUUUAUUAAAAACACAGCACUGUGCAAACACGAAAGUGGACGUAUACGGUGUGACGCCUGCCCGGUGCCGGAAGGUUAAUUGAUGGGGUCAGCGCAAGCGAAGCUCCUGAUCGAAGCCCCGGUAAACGGCGGCCGUAACUAUAACGGUCCUAAGGUAGCGAAAUUCCUUGUCGGGUAAGUUCCGACCUGCACGAAUGGCGUAAUGAUGGCCAGGCUGUCUCCACCCGAGACUCAGUGAAAUUGAACUCGCUGUGAAGAUGCAGUGUACCCGCGGCAAGACGGAAAGACCCCGUGAACCUUUACUAUAGCUUGACACUGAACAUUGAGCCUUGAUGUGUAGGAUAGGUGGGAGGCUUUGAAGUGUGGACGCCAGUCUGCAUGGAGCCGACCUUGAAAUACCACCCUUUAAUGUUUGAUGUUCUAACGUGGACCCGUGAUCCGGGUUGCGGACAGUGUCUGGUGGGUAGUUUGACUGGGGCGGUCUCCUCCUAAAGAGUAACGGAGGAGCACGAAGGUUGGCUAAUCCUGGUCGGACAUCAGGAGGUUAGUGCAAUGGCAUAAGCCAGCUUGACUGCGAGCGUGACGGCGCGAGCAGGUGCGAAAGCAGGUCAUAGUGAUCCGGUGGUUCUGAAUGGAAGGGCCAUCGCUCAACGGAUAAAAGGUACUCCGGGGAUAACAGGCUGAUACCGCCCAAGAGUUCAUAUCGACGGCGGUGUUUGGCACCUCGAUGUCGGCUCAUCACAUCCUGGGGCUGAAGUAGGUCCCAAGGGUAUGGCUGUUCGCCAUUUAAAGUGGUACGCGAGCUGGGUUUAGAACGUCGUGAGACAGUUCGGUCCCUAUCUGCCGUGGGCGCUGGAGAACUGAGGGGGGCUGCUCCUAGUACGAGAGGACCGGAGUGGACGCAUCACUGGUGUUCGGGUUGUCAUGCCAAUGGCACUGCCCGGUAGCUAAAUGCGGAAGAGAUAAGUGCUGAAAGCAUCUAAGCACGAAACUUGCCCCGAGAUGAGUUCUCCCUGAGACUUAGAGUCUCCUGAAGGAACGUUGAAGACGACGACGUUGAUAGGCCGGGUGUGUAAGCGCAGCGAUGCGUUGAGCUAACCGGUACUAAUGAACCGUGAGGCUUAACCUUACAACGCCGAAG
Molecule: ribosomal RNA, 2271 nt
Filed under: Salmonella enterica subsp. enterica serovar Vancouver
Lineage: Bacteria; Pseudomonadati; Pseudomonadota; Gammaproteobacteria; Enterobacterales; Enterobacteriaceae
Description: partial 23S ribosomal RNA
Rfam family: Bacterial large subunit ribosomal RNA
Source: RNAcentral